AACGAACGCUGGCGGCGUGCCUAACACAUGCAAGUCGAACGCGAAAAGCAGUAAUGCUGAGUAGAGUGGCGCACGGGUGAGUAACACGUAAAUGACAUGUCCUCGAGACGGGAAUAACCAGCCGAAAGGCUGGCUAAUACCUGGUAAGCCCACGUCUUUGGAGAUGAGGGAAAAGGGUCGGGAAUUUUCGAAUCCGAUCGCUUGAGGAGUGGUUUUGCGGCCCAUCAGGUAGUUGGCGAGGUAAAAGGCUCACCAAGCCUAAGACGGGUAGCUGGUCUGAGAGGAUGAUCAGCCACACUGGAACUGAGACACGGUCCAGACUCCUACGGGAGGCAGCAGUGGGGAAUCUUGCGCAAUGGGAGCAAUCCUGACGCAGCAACGCCGCGUGGGUGAUGAAGGUCUUCGGAUCGUAAAGCCCUGUCGGAGGGGGAAGAUGCUUGGAACGUCUAAUAGAUGAGCCAGGUGACGGUACCCUC
RNAcentral lists this ribosomal RNA (476 nucleotides) under uncultured bacterium. Its description in RNAcentral is "bacterial SSU rRNA". It matches the Rfam family "Bacterial small subunit ribosomal RNA", at positions 29 to 482 of the family's 1533-position model. The record is from RNAcentral.